CGGGAGCCCGAAGACAGGUGCUGCAUGGCUGUCGUCAGCUCGUGUCGUGAGAUGUUGGGUUAAGUCCCGCAACGAGCGCAACCCCCUAUCUCUAGUUGCCAGCGAUUCGGUCGGGGACUCUAGAGAUACUGCCCCGGUUAACGGGGAGGAAGGUGGGGAUGACGUCAAGUCCUCAUGGCCCUUAUGCCCAGGGCUACACACGUGCUACAAUGGGCGGUACAAAGGGUAGCGAUGCCGCGAGGUGAAGCCAAUCCCAAAAAGCCGUCCACAGUUCGGAUUGGAGUCUGCAACUCGACUCCAUGAAGCCGGAAUCGCUAGUAAUCGUGGAUCAGCAUGCCACGGUGAAUACGUUCCCGGGCCUU
Molecule: ribosomal RNA, 362 nt
Filed under: uncultured Desulfobacterium sp.
Lineage: Bacteria; Pseudomonadati; Thermodesulfobacteriota; Desulfobacteria; Desulfobacterales; Desulfobacteriaceae
Description: bacterial SSU rRNA
Rfam family: Bacterial small subunit ribosomal RNA
Source: RNAcentral